GCGCAGCUCGUCCGGCCCGCCCGCAGGCCAGCUUCUCUCGGGAGCCUCCACCCAGGCGCAUGGCUCCAUGAAGCAAGAGGAGGAGGCAGAGCGCGAGAGAUCCCGUCCGCCCCAGCCGCGUCUGGGCCAGGAGAAAAGCAAAACCAUAUUCCUGCUGCUGUCAGUUUUGAUGCACUGAGAAAACUUCAGAGACCUAAGCUUUUUCCAGAGAAGAGAAGCUUUACUGGUGUUCCAGCCCUAAGGCUCAUAUGACAUUAACAGACAAGACACUUUUCAGAAAGACAGGCAACGUGUUGGACCUUCCGGAGCUUCUCAGAAGACAGAGGGUUUUCUUUUGAGAUUCCAGUUCUUUGAUGAAAGUCUCUAUUCCACCCAUCAAGUCUGUGUCUGAUAACACCAAUAUCUGGGUCAUUAGUGGCUCCGUUUUGUUGUGUCUGUUUUCCCCUCCUUCCUGUUUUGUGGUGUGUUUGAUCACUUAUUGUUGAAUGCUAACCAUUAUAAUAAAUUUUAGUGGCUCCAGGAAACA
This is a long non-coding RNA of Homo sapiens (human), 526 nucleotides long. Ensembl annotates it as NUTM2A antisense RNA 1. Its record names the gene NUTM2A-AS1. NCBI's taxonomy places the organism in Eukaryota, Metazoa, Chordata, Mammalia, Primates, Hominidae. The record is from Ensembl.